Molecule: unclassified non-coding RNA, 228 nt
Filed under: uncultured fungus
Lineage: Eukaryota; Fungi
Description: partial contains 18S rRNA, ITS1 and 5.8S rRNA
Rfam family: Eukaryotic small subunit ribosomal RNA (bases 1-46)
Source: RNAcentral
AAGUCGUAACAAGGUCUCCGUUGGUGAACCAGCGGAGGGAUCAUUACCGAGUUUACAACUCCCAAACCCCUGUGAACAUACCUAUCGUUGCUUCGGCGGGAUGCCCCAGUUUGACGCAAGCUGGACCCAGGCGCCCGCCGGAGGACCCAAACUCUUGUUUCAUUUAUGUAUCUUCUGAGUAAACAAGCAAAUAAAUUAAAAUUUUCAACAACGGAUCUCUUGGUUCUG